Molecule: ribosomal RNA, 492 nt
Filed under: uncultured bacterium
Lineage: Bacteria
Description: partial 16S ribosomal RNA
Rfam family: Bacterial small subunit ribosomal RNA
Source: RNAcentral
AGUGAACGCUGGCGGUAGGCCUAACACAUGCAAGUGGAACGGCAGCACAGUAAGAGCUUGCUCUUACGGGUGGCGAGUGGCGGACGGGUGAGGAAUACAUCGGAAUCUACUUUUUCGUGGGGGAUAACGUAGGGAAACUUACGCUAAUACCGCAUACGACCUACGGGUGAAAGCAGGGGAUCUUCGGACCUUGCGCGAUUGAAUGAGCCGAUGUCGGAUUAGCUAGUUGGCGGGGUAAAGGCCCACCAAGGCGACGAUCCGUAGCUGGUCUGAGAGGAUGAUCAGCCACACUGGAACUGAGACACGGUCCAGACUCCUACGGGAGGCAGCAGUGGGGAAUAUUGGACAAUGGGCGCAAGCCUGAUCCAGCCAUACCGCGUGGGUGAAGAAGGCCUUCGGGUUGUAAAGCCCUUUUGUUGGGAAAGAAAAGCAGCAGGUUAAUACCCCGCUGUUCUGACGGUACCCAAAGAAUAAGCACCGGCUAACUUCGUG